RNAcentral lists this transfer-messenger RNA (361 nucleotides) under Verrucomicrobiota bacterium. It matches the Rfam family "transfer-messenger RNA". Rfam says of the family: Bacterial tmRNA, also known as 10Sa RNA or SsrA, is named for its dual tRNA and mRNA-like properties. Lineage: Bacteria; Pseudomonadati; Verrucomicrobiota. The record is from RNAcentral.
GGGGGCGUACUGGUUUCGACUGUUGGUUCGAGACGCAGGCGGCAUGUCGAGGAAGCCUGGUUGGCCUCGUUAAAAACCUGGGCAAAACAAAUAAACGCCAACGAUUACGAAGAUCUGGCUCUCGCGGCUUAAUUGACCGCGACGUUCCCGCAGCGACGCCUGCUAGCGGUGGGAGCGCACGACAGCAGGCUAGUCUGGCGGCGGAGUGACCGUGCCGCCAGGUGACUUCGCUUCGUGGACACUAGAGCGUCGGCUGCGCGCCGGCCCGCGACCCGGCGCUCGAAACUUAAAGGCCGGACAAACAUGUAGAUGCUUGCGGCGAAAGCCUUCAGGACAGGGGUUCAACUCCCCUCGCCUCCAA